This is a long non-coding RNA of Bombina bombina (fire-bellied toad), 1735 nucleotides long. RefSeq lists it as uncharacterized. Lineage: Eukaryota; Metazoa; Chordata; Amphibia; Anura; Bombinatoridae. The transcript has 3 exons. The record is from RefSeq and is a predicted model, not a curated record.
GCCACUGCUUUGGCCUGUGAAGCGGCAGUGAGAGGGAGCAGAGACCGGAGCUGGUGGGAAACCUGGAAACUACCGGAAAAUUUACUUUCUUCCCCUCCUCAACUUAUCUGGCCGCUUCCUCCGAUUCUGCUGUCUGUCCUGCCAGUUCAAUCCAAUUUGCCUCCUCCUUAUCAUCUGUACAAAAUAUACCCAGUCCUGCCGCUUAACCUGCUACUCAGUAUCUGCCCCUUCCCCUCUUCACCACUCAGUAUCUGACGAUUCUCCUCUUCACCACACAGUAUCCACCCCUUCUCCUCUUCACUACUCAGUAUCUGCCCCUUCCCCUCUUCACCACUCAGUAGCUUCCCCUGAUCACUUCUCAGUCUCUGUCCCUCCCCUACACCUCACUCAUUAUCUGCCCCUUCCCAUGCUCAUCAAUCUUCAUCUGCCCCUUCUCCUGCUUAUCACUAAGUAUCUGAUCCUUCCCCUGCUCAUCACUCCAUAUCUGCCCCUUCUCUUGCUCAUCACUCAUCAUCUGCUCAUCACACAGUAUCUGACCCUACAUCUGCCCCUUCCCUUGCUCAUCACUCAGUAUCUGUCCCUUCCCUUGCUCAUUACUCAGUAUCUGACCCUUCCCCUGCUCAUCAGGCAUUAUCUGCUCCCUCUCAUUCUGCCCCAUCUCCAUGACCUCCCAUACUUUUUGCCCCCUCUCCGAGCCCUCCUACACAUUCUGGCUCCUGUCCACACCCUCCUGCACAAUCUGCCCCCUGUCCAGACCCUCUUGCACAUUCUGUCCCUUCUUCAGAACAUAACUUGCAGACAGUCCCCUCUUCUACCCAAGAUUCUAUUCCUGCUCUUGUUUUAGAGGGAACUGAGGACGAACCUUUCAAAUCCUUCAGAAAAUGUCAGCAUUGGCCUCUCCCUGCUUAUAAAAGCAACACCUGAGAGACUAUUUGAAAUUCUCACGCAGAAUUCAGUGAACCUUCAAGCGCUAAGACAUGUUUAUAGAUUAGCUUAUAAAAGCAACACCUGAGAGACUAUUUGAAAUUCUCACGCAGAAUUCAGUGAACCUUCAAGCGCUAAGACAUGUUUAUAGAUUAGGUGAGUACAUGUUUUACAUCUAUUGGAUACUGACAGGCAGAGCUGGGUUGUAGUGCAAGUAUUGAGAGUCAUUUCUAAAUUAAACAAAUGCGUGUGAAUUUCCAAAAUUCCAUUGUUAGAUAAGAAAUGCAGGACCAGAGAUGAUGAUGAUCAGCACAUACUUGAUUAAAUAAGUACAUUGAUGUAUCUUAAACUAAUGAAAGUUUAUUUUUACUUUCAUAUCCCUUUAAGCAAUACAAAAAGAUGGGCAGAGUUUAUGGAGAUAAUAGGCCACUUACCAGUAUUUAUUCAACUGACUAUUGCGGGGGUUAAACACAUAGGAAGUGAGGGUUGUAAAUGCAAACAUAACAUGCUUUAACAAUUUAAGUAUGUAAUUUUUGCAAUAGAAUAUUCAUUUCAUGUAAAGUCAUUCCUAGUUUAUGUACAGUAUAUGCAUUUUUAUUUUGGGUAAGGGUAAAUUGAAAUAAGUCACUAAUUUUAAUUAUUUUAAUUUAUAUAUAUAAUCUGCACCAGAAAAUAGGUGGAGCUAAAUGAUGCUAAUUAUGUGGGUUUGGCAAAGUGGGCGGAACUUAAGGGAAGGGGGUGUGGUAAUUUUUUUCAUGCAGGUAAUUGCUAGCUGCAAAGUGUCCCUGGAAUUUUUUUUCAAAUGUUGGCA